This 106-nucleotide small nucleolar RNA is filed under the name Capsicum annuum. RNAcentral's name for it is "Plant small nucleolar RNA R71". It matches the Rfam family "Plant small nucleolar RNA R71". Rfam says of the family: R71 is a member of the C/D box family of snoRNAs containing the C (UGAUGA) and D (CUGA) box motifs. Multiple nearly identical copies of this snoRNA have been identified in Arabidopsis, and it is thought to function as a 2'-O-ribose methylation guide for 18S ribosomal RNA. Lineage: Eukaryota; Viridiplantae; Streptophyta; Magnoliopsida; Solanales; Solanaceae. The record is from Rfam by way of RNAcentral.
ACUUUGUGGUUGGGACAUUGCAUGAGCUUCCCAUUAAAUCUCUCGCAUACCUCAUAUAGAGGUCCUCCAUUCAAUUGAUGAAAAUUAGUUAUUUCGUCACGCAAUU